GUGGGCGGCACGGUCCCGCCGCUUAUUGUUCCUCUCAGCUGUGACCCAACUGUCAUGAAAUAGUUAACCACAAAAUCGCUUUUACUGUUAAAACGGCAUGGCUGAUCUCUUUAAGAGCGCCCUCGGCUACUUGGGAACCAAUGGCGGAACAGCGGAGAAUGACUUUGUCGGCCAGGAAGUUGAAAUCAAUGGUAUUCGUCUUCGUAUAAGAAAGCUUAUAGCAGAAGGUGGCUUUGCCUUUGUAUAUAUUGCACAAGACCUCAGCACUGGGAAGACAUAUGCUCUGAAGAAAUGGGUUGGAUCAAGCAUAGAGCAGCCCACAAUCCCACAUGAGGAUAUACUCGACUCACCCACACGGCUGCUGGGUGCUGAUCAGGUAGCCUGUGACUCUAUUCGUCAAGAAAUUUCGAUAUCCAAGCAGCUCUCAGGACAUCCCUACAUUGUGGAGUUCUUAGCUGCAGCAGCUAUUGACAAAACUCAAAGUAAAGAAUGCCGGAAUGAGUUCCUCCUCCUAAAUGAAUUGUGCACAGGAGGCUCGCUUGUGGAUGCUUUGCGACUCCUAGAGGGUAAAUUAUUACCAGUGAGCCAGGUGUGCACAAUUAUGUAUCAGACUUCUAAAGCCGUCCAGCAUAUGCAGGCUCAGAAUCCUCCUGUUACUCAUCGAGACCUGAAAGUGGAGAACCUACUCAUCAGUGAAUCUGGCCAUAUCAAACUAUGUGAUUUUGGUUCAGCCAUGACCAAAACUUAUUCAAUUGAUCUGGGAUGGAGUGCACAUCAACGUUCUUUGCUUGAAGAUGAGAUGGCACAGCACACCACACCAAUGUACCGUGCUCCAGAAAUGCUAGAUACAUGGAAUAACUAUACCAUAAAUGGCCAGGCAGAUAUCUGGGCACUGGGCUGCAUCCUUUACUACCUCUGCUAUCUUAAACAUCCUUUUGAAGAUUCUGCUAAACUAAGAAUUGUUAAUGGUAAUUUUGCUAUUCCUACCAAUGAUGGCAAAUAUGAUUGCUUUCAUGAGCUAAUACGAGGCAUGCUGAAGGUAGACCCAAACCAAAGAUUUAAGAUAUCAGAUAUCUUGGAUAGAUUAGCUGCCAUUGCAGAGACCAAAGAUUUUGACAUGAAGGCUCCACUAACAAUAAAAUACAAGAAGAUUGACUUGACAUCUCCAGUACUUCAGCCUGAGAGUAAUGGAAGGGUUAAUGAAAGGCGGUGCGGUGCUCCCGACCGUCCCCCUGCCCGUCCUCCUGCUCCACGGUCUCCACUACCACAACGACCACCACCUCCAGCCUCACAACCCCAGCAAGGUAUGAGUGGGCAAGGUGUACAGCCUCAGCAACAACCAGCUGCUGGUGGUGGUUUAUUUUCUUCUAUUAAGGGAUACUCGGGCAGUAUCUUCAAGAACCUCAAGGAUACAUCCAGCAGAGUCAUGCAGACAGUUAGCCAGUCAAUUACUCGGACGGAUCUUGAUCUCUCUCACAUUACGUCACGUGUGGUUGCUAUGUCGUACCCAGCCGAAGGGUUAGAGUCGGCUUACAGAAAUCAUGUUGACGAUGUUAAAGCGGUUUUGGAUGGCAGACAUCCAGGGCAUUACGUGAUCUAUAAUGUAUCUGGUCGCCAGUAUCAUUCAACGAAAUUCACUUCGAGGGUGGUGGAAGGAAACUGGUCUGGGAAAAAGGCCCCUACAUUGGGUGCUCUUUAUAACUUGGCCUGCAGCAUCCAUGAUUACUUAGCUAAGGACCCUAAGAACAUUGUAGUAAUCCACUGCAUUGAUGGUAAAGCUUCAACUGCAAUGCUGGUGUGCUCAUUCCUCCUGGUAUCUCAUGCUUUCAAGAGACCUGAACAAGCACUCAAUAUGUUUGCAAUUAAAAGAUGCCCACCUGAUCUUCAGCCAUCUCAGUUCAGGUAUCUUGAGUAUAUUCGUGAUCUGGUGUCUUCUCCGCCAACUGUGCCACAUUUUAAGCCUGUGACGCUGACCUCGAUCAUUGUCUCGCCUAUCCCACUCUUUACGCAGAGAAGAGAUGGAGCACGUCCUUAUGUAGAAGUUUGGCAGGGUGAACACAAAAUGCUCUCUACCCUUCAAGAAUAUGACCACAUGAGGUUGUAUAUGCCACCAGACAAUAAGAUCAUCAUUCCUAUCAAUAUUCACUUGGUGGGUGAUGUAUGUGUAUAUAUAUAUCAUGCUCGAAAGAUGAUGGGAAAGGUAAUAGGGGUGAAGAUUGCUCAACUGCAGUUUCACACAGGCUUCAUACCAGAAGAAGAUACUUCAUUAAAGUUUGGUCUGCGUGAAUUGGAUGAUGUACUGGAACCUGAUCGUUACCCAGAACGUUUCACCGUGACUGUAAACAUUUUUGUGUCUGAUGUAGAUCGCAUGCCACCUCAACCUCCUCCCUGGGUAGCAAGACCAUCAUCUUCCUUGAGGCCUCAUGUACCAUAUUCUACUGCUAUUGAGAUGGAGGAAACAAAGGACAAAUUUGCAGCAAGUGCACAUGGUUCACCUGCAUCUCAGAGACGAGAUUCCCCACCCAAAUUAGGGACAGGCAACAUGCAGGCGUGUAAAUCGGACUUCAUGGCUACAAUCAGUGGGAGUGGAAAGCCAGAACCAACUCAGGGAGGCGAAGACGUUGAGGAUCUCAUAUCAGAUGAAGAAGACACUCCAAUGUGUCAGCAGGAAGAUGUCCCGGUGUCCGAUAUUAGUUCUAAAGAAGCUGACUUACUGAAUUGGGGAAUUUCAGCCCAAAGUGCAACAGGAAUUAAUCAAGUCGCUAAUGAUAUGGACUUGCUUGAUAUUGCUGGUUCUGAUGGCAUGAAGAGAGACCCUAGUAACUUUGACCUCCUCAGUGGGAUUGGUGGUGGUGCCAGUGAACCAAGUGUCAGUUCUUCCAUUAAUUCUCGGGAACCUGCAAAUGCUCAGGAAAAUUUGUUUGAUCCCUUUGGAACGUCAGUUGCUUCACAACAUGCAGGUGGUGGAAAAGCGCCUUCUGAAGAUAUUUUUGGGCAGUUUUCAAUACCUCAAACUCAACAACAAAAUAAUCUUCUGGGGAAUCUUGGAGGACCAGCCAUGGGUGGUCUUAGUCCAAUGGCAUCUUCAGGCAGUCCCAUGAUGGGUCCACGGCUCUUGGGAGGAGCAACUAGCCCAAGUAAUACAGUUGGUGGUGGGUUUGUACGUCCUCCAGCACAACAGCAGCCAAACAAACCUUCCGAUCCAUUUGCUGAUCUCGGUAAUUUGACAGGUAUAAGUGGAUGGGGUGGAUCUAAACCUUCAACACCAAAGGGUGGAACACCUGCAGGGGGAACGCCCUUGGGUGGUAGCACUCCUGUUACUGGGUCUCCACAGCACCGUCCACAGGUGGCUGGAGCAUGGCAGGGACAGACACCAGGUGUGAUUGGAGCACAAUUGGGUGGUUGGCAGCCGACAGGUAGACCUCAGCAGCCACCACAGCAACAACCUUCUCAGCCACAACCACCACAGCCACCACCAACUCAACCACAGCAACCACCAAUAGCUGGGAAAACACCAACAGGUACUCCACAUCAUCAGAUGAAAUCUCCAUGUCAGCCCAAUUAUGGACGUGUUAAUUUUGAUGUUUCUGGUAAAAAUAUAGGGGGUACUCCAAAGGGUAGGGUUGGAGAAGAUGCUUUUGGAGACCUGCUUGGUUCUCAAGGGUUCAGCUUCAGUAGUGGGAAAGACUCUGGUCCUCGCACCAUGGCCGAGAUGAAGAAGGUAGAAUUGGCCAAAAGUAUGGAUCCAGAGAAGCUUAAGGUAAUGGAAUGGACUGAGGGCAAAAAGAAGAAUAUUCGUGCACUGUUAUGUUCCCUUCAUUCAAUAAUCUGGGAAGGCUGCAAGUGGAAUGAGUGUGGUAUGCAUCAGUUGGUGCAACAAAAUGAGGUUAAAAAAAUGUACCGCAAGGCGUGUCUAGCAGUCCAUCCAGACAAGUGCACAGGAACGGAACAUGAAUCUCUUGCAAAACUCAUAUUUAUGGAAUUAAAUGACGCUUAUUCUGAAUUUGAAAAUGAUCCUAGCCAGCAGCAGAUUUUUAAAUAAGAACUGGUAAGUUUAUUUGUAUAACUGAACAAAGAUGCAUUAUUUCCAUGGAAUCUUCCCUUCAUAAUUGUCAAAGGGGAAAUCAUUGUUUAUUAUUUAUAGGCAUUCACUGUACAUUCACUUUAGUAAAUGUAUUCUCCUUUCUUUUUUCUUAAGGAUGUUUUUCACAAGUUAUCUACAUUAAAGGUUCAUCAGAUCAAUUAGAAAAUGCAGACUCAGAUUUUUUCAUUUUAAAAAGUGUUUAUGUCAGGAUUUUGACUUUUGCUAGUUGUUAGGUUGUUAUGAACAUAUUUUCUGAAGUAACUGCUAAAUUUCUCUCUCCUGUUUGCUUUUUCCCCUUCAGCCAAAAUUUGUUAUUGUUAGUUCAGUGUAUUAAGUAACAGUUUUAGUUAACCCUGAGCAUUGUUAUGACACUACAAGUGUAAACUUUUCUGAAUCUUAGUAGGUGCUGAAAGUAUGUUAUAUGGUUGUAAAGAAAGCUAAUAUUAACUAGUCCUGUAGUUCUGUUGAUAGUUUGUAUAAAAUAAGGGGCUCUGAUUUUUUAUAUGAAUUUGCGGAUGGUGGCUUGGAAAAUCAUUUCAGGAGGUUGAUAACAUGUUCUCAUAUUUCUCCUAUAACGUGUUCUCAUAUUUGUCCUAUAACGUGUUCUCAUAUUUCUCAUGAAACAUAUUCUCAUUUUAGUUAAGUCUUGUUUUAUGUCAUUGAUACCAUUCAUCUCAGUAGCAGAUAUGUUAUGCUAAACUUGGCUUCAUUAACCCAUGAAGUGUGUGUGUUGUUGUCUGGAACAUUAAACAUAUAGCUUCAGUAUGUAUUAUGUUACCAGUAUAUCUCAUUUCUGUGAUAUCUAACUUUAUUUUGACAUUUUUAUGAAGCUUUACUUAUAAAAAAGUUUUAUCAGAAUUUAAAUUGCUUGGAGCAUGGUAAUGUAGAAUUAUUAAUUUUAAACAUGCAGUGAUUUUAAAUGCUGUCACUUUAAUAUUUUGUUAAAAUUUAUUUUGUAAACUCCUAGAGUGAACACUGCAAUAUAAUACAAACAAAAUAAUAUUUAUGGAAAACAUGUAAUUUCCAUACACACUGGGCAAGCUGUGAAGGAUAGUUUGUUUGCUGUGCAGCUCCAGAAAUUUAGAAAAUAGCUGGUUUCAUUUCCUAUGUUGUAGCAAAAUAUAUUUCUCUUAAUUUCUUAAGGAAACGCUGCUACUAUCUUCAAAUACCAGUAUUAAAAUAUAAAUUUGUUUAAAUUAAGCCCUAGUUAUUUUUAAUUGUCACAUUUUGAUUUGUUGACAGCUUUGCUUAUCAAGAGUUCUUACCAGAGAACCAUGAUGCUUUGUGCACUCUCUGCUGCUUUGUUCUUACCGCAGUCAUAGAGGGGGGGCUUGGCACUUGCAGAAUCUUCCUCAUAUAGCCCAUACAAUGGUAGAUAGAUCACUGCAAAUGUGUAUUAAAUAAGUUUAUUUUUGUGAAAGAAAACAUGCAUUAACAAAAAUUUGUUUGAAUUACGUAUGUAUUCCAUUUAGUUAACAUUAUGCUCAUUAAGUGUAAUUCAUCUCAUUAUUUGCAAAGCUACACUGGUAUACCCUGAAUUCCAGAAUUGUGUUCAUUUUAGUGGGUUUGUUUACUUGGAUUUUAAUUAGUUUUAUCUUGAUAGUGUAAAUAUGGUAUUGAUCUGAAUGCAUUGUGAUAUAGUCAAGAAUGUGUACAAGUAAGGAGUAAGUUAUACAGUAUUCUGAUAGUGCACUUUUUUUGUUUUGAUCUGAAUGCAACAAAAUUAAUAAUAUAACUUAGUAUUUGCCUGUAUUUACGUAAUGGCAACUGUGUCACGGUGGGAACAGGAAGUCUGUGGCCUGUGGAAGGUCCCCCAUAUGCUUCCUUAUGUAAUUUGUUUGGGCAGUAAGAUGAACUGUAUCUCUGUCUUGGCCUUUACUUCUGUGGCAUGUAGGUGGUUCUAUAUUUAUAUUACACUAUGGGUGAAGGAAACAUCUAUUGCCCUACACACAGAAAUCACAAUAGCAUGAUAUAUUAAAUGAACAAAUCCACAAGGGCCAUGAUGAGAGUUCGAACCUUCGCAGCUGGGAACAUCCCGUGCAUAGGUCCGAACCCUCAUCACAGCCCUUUUGGAUUUGAUCUAUUGCUAUUCUACACUGAGGCUUGGUGAUCUUUGUUGUUGAUUCUUGUGAGAGUUUCAUUGGAACUCUUGAAGAGGAGGUUUAAAUUUGCAUUAAUUCGGUCAUAAAAAUCUCGAGAAUAUCAUCCAUUAUGUCUUGUUUGUGUUUAUUACUUCCUCAAAAUAUACAGUAUUUUGUAUCUGUAUUUUUUGGCAUCUUUUCUUGCAUAUUUUUAGAGGGUUCCAUAGUUUUUACUUGUGCAAGUAUUUUUUUCAGAUAUUCCUUUAUACACUAAAAUAAAUUUAAUGGUUGAUCUCCAUUGCCAGUUGUGUGCAAUUUUCCUGGGCUGACCUCUAAAUUGGUUCUCUGUGCAUUAGGCUCCAGUACCUCAGAGGCGAACAGAGCAUGAGGAUUAGAGAUCGAUCCAAUCCAGAGAAAAACUGGCCAGAAGGUAUAGACAUAACACAACGAACCACUAACUUUGAUUAGAAAGAAAAACUAACAUUGGUUUACAGAUGAAAAGCAAUCCAUCAGUAGACAGUGUACCAUUAGGUAGGAACUAACAUCACACCUGGAGGUCUGGAGGUCCUGCUGACAAACAUCUCCAUGUGUGCGCCUGGUACCACCUGUGGUGCUCCAUACUCGUUUGCUGGAACUAGCUAUGUUCUAUAUACUGUAAUUGGUGUUAGCAUUUUUUCGAACAGUGCUUAGUGUUUGAUUCCCUAUUACUCUUCUAAUUAGGAAUACGACUGUUUGGUACUCUCCUAGUGUGUUCUUAGCCUUUUGGUUCACUCCAGUUAUAUUUCAGGGUUUGCUUCCAUGAUAUCCGUUCGAGGUUUAUUUCCUUAUCAAAGUUAUCGUCUCUGUGUAGCUUGGUCCUCAUUGCCAAAUCUGUUUAAGAGUCAAGUUAACUGUUAAUUAUUUAACACAAAAAAAAUCAAAUUUGUGCUUGGCUAUGAGUUGAAUUAAGUUGGUGCCUUGCACGGUUUUGGGAUUGUACCAGGGUACUGACAAGAAUUAUUUCAGUGUAAUUCUAAGGUUUCAUACUCCUAUUCGUUCAUGAUUUAUGGGGUUUGGUGUGUAGGAAACACUUUCACUUCUCUGGCACUUGACACUGCUGGAUAUUCUUUUCUGCCCUGAAGAGGCAGUUCCUGUUGUUUGUGGGAUGGUUCUUAUUACCCACAGUAUUGUGGAGUGAAUCUUGACAUGGAUGAAGAUUUCUUCAUAUAAUGGUGCUCCAGGGAGGUGGAGCUCUAGAAUCUCAGUGUAACUUCAUAUUACCUUUCUUGCUGCACAAGGAUAUCAUAGUAUCGCAAUGUAUCGCCGUUAAAUUAUGUACAUAGCCGUUUAUGAACCUGAUAUUUAGUCUAUGGUUUAGUAAUUUUUCAAGAUUGUUAGCUGUUUAAGUUUUUCUGUAAGGAUCUUACUUUUGUAGUGAUUAAAUGGGAUCUGUUAGGGUUUUGUAAUAAGGUGGUACUUAACUCUGAAAUUUCACAGAUCUAUUCUUUAUUUUGCUUGUGGACUUAUUAAUUUUUGUAUAAUUGUUGUGGCCUUGACAGGUUUCUCACAUGAGCAAGAGAAUUUGAACAAUAUAAUUUUAGAGUAACAGUUAAUGUAUCUAUAUAUAUUAUAUAAGUACUCUCAGGGUUAGUUUACAGGUUGUAAAGCAAGACAGAGGCUACGGUGGUUGUACUUCUAAGAAAAGUGAAGAUUUGAGUCAUUUAAGGGACCUUCUGCAUGUUCUUGUGCCUUGAUGAUUUAAUCUGCAUUUCUUUCUCAUAAUGCUUAACUGUUAGUAAUUUUCUGAGAUGGCUCUUUCAGUAACUUCCGAAGCUAACUGCUGGUACACUUACCUGCUUGAUUGAGGCAACACUGUUGCCUUAGGAAGAAAACAUUCCAGAAAGCACAAGUGCAAUGAAGUGACUGCUUGUAGAAAAUUAGGUACACUUGGGUAGCAAGUCACCUUUCUGCUGAGUAGCAUAUAAGACAUGGAGAACAUGUCCUUGCUCUUUAGGUGUAUAGGACCAGAGGUGGUCCUAUUUCUUGCUUUUAGGUUCUCUCUCUCUCUCUCUCUCUCUCUCUCUCUGCAACUCCUGCAUUGGGCUGGGUUUGGCAUUUUUCUCUGAAUUCCCAAUUUGUAUUACAGAUUGGGGCGCUGGCUCGUACAUUGCCAAGUGACAGCAAUGGUUGAGCUGGUGGCAGUGGUGAUUAGGCUGCUCUCUUCUCUCUUUUCUGGUACCCUCAAAGCCUACUUUUGUUCUCCUGGUCUCUGGGUUUUGCAUUCCAGGGAGUUCUAUUUUUUUUUAAAUUGGGGGUGGAAGGGGGGGGGGGGUAGUUGGCUUCCAUGCCUGGCACCCCUAUAAUUUUCUCUAAAAAUAUUGAGCCCGAGGGUGUGGGGGUGUGGUCAGUGGCUGUUGUUGGGCCACACAUGCAUGGUGACAGUCAGGGACAUUACAGUUAAGGUAUUUAUUCCAUGGCAAUUGUUAUACGUGUUUACAUCUUGAUACAUAAAUUUCUUCAAGCAGCUGCUUGUUCUUUCUGGCGACUAUUUUCUUGGAUCUGGGUCGCUCUUUGACCUUCUAAGCUUUUCCUAGCCUUGCAGAGAGAGCCAGAUUGUGAGCCUGGCUUCUAGUAGGCAAGGUUGGGUCUUGUAAGCCAUAAACAUUGUCCUAUGGCAUUGCUGUACCAUCAUUUAGCUCAGAGAGCUUCUGAGGGGCUUCCAUGAAGGGUUGUUUCAUUACAUUCACUGCUUGAUUUUUGGCCUUGGUCUGUUACCUGGCACACUCACUGCAUUUCUGUAUUAAAUGUCCUGGCCACACAUUAUUGUCCCUUAUUAUUCUUGAAAGUGAAUUCAGCUACAGUUUGUAAUGAACACACAAAUAAAGUACAGUAAAAACUUUACUUUUUAUGUUCAUUAUGUGACAAUGAACAUAACUUUAUUAUGUUCAUGAUCACAUGUUUGAUUCAGUUCUAUUAUAUAUUACUUUAGUUUUCUGCUCAUAAACAAAUUUUCUUCAAUACUCUUAAGUAUUAGUCUGGUAUAUAUAUUUCAUGACCAGCGAUAUAAAAGGAAGAUUUGGUUUUCAUAAUACAGUAUAAAGUUUUAUUUUUGUCAGUUGAUAAGUUAUAACUUUAACAUUAAUAUAAUAUUAAUAGACCUUGAACCCAGUUUUGAAUUUGAAUUAAAUUUAUAAUGUGCUAAAUGUGUAAUGACAUGUAAUGUUGCUGAUUGACCACCAGACUUUCCAAGACUGCAUGCACUUACCCACUAAGCUUUCCAACUUGGUACCUUUUAAUAAUUACUUCCUUAUUUUCCCAUUAUGCUACUCCAAGACAUGGUUUAAUCUAAAGUAAAGCUGCAACCUAAGAUAUCUUUUGGUAAUCAGAAAGUUUACAAAUAAAGAUACAUUAAAAUUGACAGGUGUUAUAUUUGAGGUUACCCCACCUGAUGCAUGCAGGUUAUGGAGGAAGCAAUCAAAAUUAGUAUAAAUUUCAACUUAAAAUGAUGCAAAAGUUAAACUCGGAGAGCAGAACAAACCACCAUUAAUAUCGUGGUUACUACAAUAAGCUCUGUUUUAAUCAAGUAUUUGCACAGUAGCAUAACUAUAAAUAACAUUAGAGUACUGUGUUUUAAUAAGUAGAAUCUGUUAGUUUUUGUUCUUGGCAUGUGUAACUAAUACAGUAUUUAAAUUGUGGUUUGAAGAAGUAAUUCUGACUGCUAACAAGCAUGUUUUGCUUUGUCUAAAUGUAAAUUCAAUACAUUUUCUUUUGAUGACAUUUUUAAUUUAGUACUGUAUAAUUUUGACAUGUAAUCUCUGAAAAUCUGAAAGAAGGAAUUUAUCUUAAAA
Procambarus clarkii (red swamp crayfish) is the source of this 9992-nucleotide non-coding RNA. The record is from RefSeq and is a predicted model, not a curated record. Lineage: Eukaryota; Metazoa; Arthropoda; Malacostraca; Decapoda; Cambaridae.